This 254-nucleotide unclassified non-coding RNA is filed under the name uncultured bacterium. Its description in RNAcentral is "contains 16S-23S intergenic spacer region". It matches the Rfam family "Bacterial small subunit ribosomal RNA", at positions 524 to 776 of the family's 1533-position model. The record is from RNAcentral.
UACGGAGAAGGCAAGCGUUACCCGGAAUUACUGGGCGUAAAGCGUUGCGUAGGCGGCCUAAUAAGUGAAUUGCGAAACCUCACGGCUCAACCGUGAGAUGGUACUUCAAACUAUUAGGCUAGAGGACAGUAGAGGUGAGUGGAAUUCCUGGUGUAGGAGUGAUAUCCGUAGAUACCAGGAGGAACACCAAUGGCGAAGGCAGCUCACUGGACUGAUCCUGACGCUGAUGCACGAAAGCGUAGGGAGCGAACCGG